Molecule: ribosomal RNA, 303 nt
Filed under: uncultured bacterium
Lineage: Bacteria
Description: partial 16S ribosomal RNA
Rfam family: Bacterial small subunit ribosomal RNA
Source: RNAcentral
AGCAGUAGCCGCGGUAACACGGAGGGUGCAAGCGUUAAUCGGAAUUACUGGGCGUAAAGCGCACGCAGGCGGUCUGACAAGUCAGAUGUGAAAUCCCCGGGCUUAACCUGGGAACUGCAUUUGAAACUGUCAGGCUGGAGUCUUGUAGAGGGGGGUGGAAUUCCAGGUGUAGCGGUGAAAUGCGUAGAGAUCUGGAGGAAUACCGGUGGCGAAGGCGGCCCCCUGGACAAAGACUGACGCUCAGGUGCGAAAGCGUGGGGAGCAAACAGGAUUAGAUACCCCUGUAGUCCCUGUCUCUUAUAC